Molecule: long non-coding RNA, 687 nt
Filed under: Heterocephalus glaber (naked mole-rat)
Lineage: Eukaryota; Metazoa; Chordata; Mammalia; Rodentia; Bathyergidae
Description: lncRNA (ENSHGLG00100046857.1)
Source: RNAcentral
GGAGGUUUCCAUGGAUAAUAAUGGGGACUAACAUUGUUAAGAUCUUGCAUCACUUUUAAUGUGUAUAACAGCUGGUCACCAGGUAGCUAUUGCUAUAAUUUCCAUCUUACAGAUGAGGAUGGCAAGGUGCUGAGAGCUUUCGGGAAGUGCACCAUUGGUGGUGGCACCCUUGCCCUCAAAGGGUCACCCAGGGCCGCUCCUGCUGUGUUUUCACCUGUCCUGCUCAGAGUUCUGCUUGAGCUUCAAACAGCAAGAGGACAGGAGUUUGCUCUCAGGGGAGAAUCUGCAUGGGGUAGUUGGCAGCAAACCUUCCAAAGGAGAAAUCCCCUCUACACUCUGCACAGCUGUGAACAGUCUGCAGGUAAUGAGGUGGCCGGAAAUGAACUCAGGACCCGGUCGCACUUCCAUCAGGGAAGACGGCAGGCUUUCAGCGGCCAAGUCUCGCCACACCUUGCCCCCCAGCCUCCCAUUUAAGGAGACGCUUUGAACUUUCACUACCACCUUGCUGUAGAAGGCUCAUGUUUUUGGCCUUAUUAGAAGCACUGCUUGAGCAGAGACGUUCUCUACAGGAUGCAGCAGUGCAGGUGACGACUGGGCUCUGCCUCAGGAGCUCUUGGGUGAAGCAUCUCGAGAGAAAGACGGGGUUCUCUGAUAUUUGAUGACUUUAAGUACAGGAGAAUGAAGGGG